CCCGCUCAGAAACUUAAAGGAAUUGACGGGGGCCCGCACAAGCGGUGGAGCACGUGGUUUAAUUCGAUGCAAACCGAAGAACCUUACCUGGGUUUGACAUGUACGUGUUACUGAUCUGAGAGGAGAGGGACCCAUGCUUCGGUAUGGGAGCGUACACAGGUGCUGCAUGGCUGUCGUCAGCUCGUGUCGUGAGAUGUUGGGUUAAGUCCCGCAACGAGCGCAACCCUUGCCUUUAGUUGCCAGCAGUUCGGCUGGGCACUCUAAAGGGACUGCCGGUGUUAAACCGGAGGAAGGUGGGGAUGACGUCAAGUCCUCAUGGCCUUUAUGACCAGGGCUACACACGUACUACAAUGGCCGAUACAAAGGGCAGCGACACUGCGAGGUGAAGCCAAUCCCGUAAAAUCGGUCUCAGUCCGGAUUGGAGUCUGCAACUCGACUCCAUGAAGUUGGAAUCGCUAGUAAUCGUGGAUCAGCAUGCCACGGUGAAUACGUUCCCGGGCCUU
RNAcentral lists this ribosomal RNA (503 nucleotides) under uncultured Desulfobulbus sp. RNAcentral's name for it is "bacterial SSU rRNA". It matches the Rfam family "Bacterial small subunit ribosomal RNA", at positions 888 to 1382 of the family's 1533-position model. The record is from RNAcentral. Lineage: Bacteria; Pseudomonadati; Thermodesulfobacteriota; Desulfobulbia; Desulfobulbales; Desulfobulbaceae.